RNAcentral lists this ribosomal RNA (301 nucleotides) under uncultured bacterium. RNAcentral describes it as "partial 16S ribosomal RNA". It matches the Rfam family "Bacterial small subunit ribosomal RNA", at positions 509 to 807 of the family's 1533-position model. The record is from RNAcentral.
CAGCCGCCACGGUAAUACGUAGGUGGCAAGCGUUGUCCGGAAUUAUUGGGCGUAAAGGGCCCGCAGGCGGUUUCUUAAGUCUGAUGUGAAAGCCCCCGGCUCAACCGGGGAGGGUCAUUGGAAACUGGGAAGCUUGAGUGCAGAAGAGGAGAGUGGAAUUCCACGUGUAGCGGUGAAAUGCGUAGAGAUGUGGAGGAACACCAGUGGCGAAGGCGACUCCCUGGUCUGUAACUGACGCUGAGGAGCGAAAGCGUGGGGAGCGAACAGGAUUAGAUACCCGUGUAGUCCCUGUCUCUUAUAC